AGCCGGGCGACGGAGGUGAGCUGCCCUGAGGGGGCCCCUUCCAGAGGACAAGACAGAGCAGCGUCUCCCUGGCCCUUUAUCCUUCUUGGAAUGCCAGAGUCUCAGAGGCGUGCCACUCACCUCAAACCUGAGCCCACAGGUCCAGAGCCCCAAAGAUGGAGAGAACCAGGGUCCCUGCCCAGUCCGCCACCCCUGCCUCCCCCGCCGGGGACAACACCCCUCUGUUAUCUGCAGCUGACCCACAUGCACCUGAAUACUAGGACCUCAUCAUUGAGAGUAAACACAAAAGAGGUUAGACAGGCCGUCUCCAUGGAAAUAACUCCCACCUCCCUGCUGUCUAGCAGAGAGGAUUGACAUCAAUACCACUCAAUCACAGCAUUCUCUGUCUUCUUUGGAGCACUGAAAAGUUGGUGCCUCUAUUCACUGACCUGUAAACCCAGAACCACCCAAGUGCUGGGCAGAGUCGGGCUCCACAGACACUUCCUCCCCUGGAAUGACUGCCUGCUGACCAAGAGGGGGGACACAGUCAUUUCACAGUGGCUGCGGUGGCGGGCCGAGGGAUACAGCAAAGCCUCGUCUUACCAGGUCUGUGUUUUCUCUCCCACACGCCACACCCUUACACCUCCCGAGCUUGAGGAAAGGCUGAGGAGCAUCUCAUCACGUGGGCCCAGGUGUCGUGCUGGGAGAGAUGCUCACCCCAGGUCACCUGGAACAGCCCAAAAGGACAGGAAGGAGAAGCAAGAUACCCAGAAUCCCGUGCACAUAAGCCCUGGGGCAAGGAGUCCAGCAGCUCAGGCCCUGCUUACACAGAUGGCAGAGGCGCCCAAGGACUAGUGGAGGCAGGUAAGUGUGCCUCCAAGCUUCUGCCUGAGUGACGUCUGCCAGCACCCUAUUGGCCAGAGCAAGUCACAGAGUGAAACCCAGCUUCCAGGGACAGGGAAAUCUACCCGCCACUUAAUAGAAGGAGCUACAAAGCCCUCAGCAAAGGCGGAAGCCCUGAGGCCACUUAUGCAUGCAUUCCACCUGCACAGCCUCUGAGGCAGGAAUGGCAGCCGGAGGGAAAAUCAACGCCAGCAAUUCGAGAGACUCACCGGAGUCACCCGUUUCCAGGCGGCCCCUCUCUCUGCCGGUGUGCUCCUGGGCUCUGGGAACCAGCCCACAGGCGGCCGUGACCCAGUCCUCCGUCUCACACACACUAGGGGUCCAGCCUUCUUAUUCACAGUCUCGGAUCCUCAGGACCUGAAAAAGAAAGAUCACCAGCUCCAUUUUACGUAGGAGGAAACCUAGAGUCUGGAAACUUAAACGCCUCACCAAGAGUCCCCAGGGAAGGAGAGCAGCGCCCUGCGGGGACCCAAGCCUGCCUGAAUGCUCUGCUCAGGCCCCAGCCCUGCCUCUCAGACUCAGCUGCCAUCACUCUACAGUACUGAACUGGCAGGGCCCCUGGGGUCCUGCUUUGGAAGGCGGGGACUGUGAUCCCCCCGCCUGGAUUCAGACCUUACUUCUGCCAGCCCUGCACACACACUGGGCCUCCUGGGAACCCCACUCAGUUUCCUCGACUGUCAAGAAGGGACAAGGACAUUCCCAAUCGCAUCAUCACGUUGUGAGGCACCAUCCAGUUAUCCUGUGUGACCCCGGCAUGUUCAAACUCUGGAUAGAUACGCAACGAUCAUGCCGUUUAGAUUUCGGUGGGGAGACACAACUCGCAAAUCAUCAAAACUGGGAAUCUGUCAUCUGACUGCGUGUCCAAGGUUAGAACUCCAAGAAAGCGUGUGUGAUGAACAGCAGCACUGACCGCACUAUCCGAGAAGUUGCCCAGCCCCGUGGGACUGGGUGCCCAGGAGGCCUCCCGCUUUGUGGACUGGUCUCAGCUCCCCCAGACGAGAGCGUGUCCCAUCUCCUCACCAAGCCAGCCUCCACCGCGGGCUGGGAACAGACCUGGGGAGAGCAGCCUGGAAUGUUUGGGGCCUCCCGUCACUCCUGCCUGGACACCUCCGUGCAGAGGCGGCGAUGCGAGGCCACUGAAGAGUGGCCUCCAACCUCAUUUCUCCACACCACACAGAAGACGCUGGGCAAGUUUGUUUCUGAGAAGACAGGCAGGGAUUUGAGUUUCUGGCGCUUGUUUGCACAAAGGAUUUCAGCCGUCUUUCUCUUGACACGCAGCUUAAACACGUUAGCUGACCCUUAAAUGGAAUCUCCAUGAUGCCCCGGCUCCCUCCAAGAAAAUUUCAGGGCAGGGGGUGGGAGGGGGGAUAAAAUGCAUUGUGUCCUGUGGGCUUAUUUCUGGCACUGCCAGUUUAGGGUUGAUGACUCCAUGCCAACUGUGUCUCCUGCUUUAUUUGGGUGUCUUUUUCUCUUCUCCUUUACCUUUUAACUAAAACACAAAAUAAGCAUUUUGAUUGCCUUCAGCUCUUAAGAGGGAAGUACAUCUCACCCCCGCCCCCCAGCCCCUGGCUGUUUGCUGGCAGAGAUCAAACGUGAAUUUCUCAAAAAACAAAAAGUGGAAAGUUUACAAAUACAGGACUCAGAAUCUGCAACAGCGCACCAUCACUCCAAGUCAGGGAUGUGUAGCCCAACAUGCUUGCCGGCAACAAGGCUUCCCGUGCUCUUUCUGUAAACCCACAUGCAAAGAUGGUACCAGGGCCACUUUCUGCCCGUCUACCAGAAAAAAAAAAAAAAAAAACAAAAAAGAAAGCCCAGAAGAGACAAUAAUCUUUGCAUCAGCUGAGGCCCCAUCAGCCUGGCUGGCAAACUGAAACAUAAUAUUUUAGGCUGAAGUUGAUCACAUAGGUUUGCUGAAUUCAUUUUCUGAAAGUCUUGCCCCGAACAAAUUUAUUCACUUUCAUGAAGUCUGAAAGUGCUUUUUCUUGUUGGGUGUCUGAAACCUGAAAUAUUUUCAACUAAAUGAGAAAAUGUUCGCUGUUGAAUGACCUAUUAGAGCUGUCACAAACGUGAUUUCUGGAAAUAAACAAGAUCGUAAGAAGGUUGGCCGGAGCAGAAACGUAAGUCAGCGUUAAUAGGUGGUGUAAUUAAAUUAUCCCUUAAGCUAAGGUGCCAAGUGACACAGCUUUGUGUGUGUGAAUUCUAAUACAGUCACCUCCCUGGGCCUGCACAAAUCUGAAUGGACUUCUCUCCAGAAUCACUAAUUUUAUUUUCUUCGGUUUCUACGUAUCAAAUAGCUCUCUCUGUUCUGCUAGCUAACCAAAGUUCUUGAGACAGACAAGCCCAUAUUUUCUCGUAUCAUUUUACAGAGGUUCACUUGAUACAAACCUGGCUCCAUAAACAAUGUUUAUUUUUUAUGGUUUAGUAUCUUGCUCAAGAAAAUUAGAACUAAGUUUCAUGAAGAUUUAUUUUCAUUUUAACUAUAUUGUUCACUGGCCACUGCCACUCAAUACUUAAAUGACUUUCUCCCCAAAGGGCAACAUCUUUAAAGCGGAACAGAGUUUAUUUAAACAGCUGGUUUUUUGCACAAUCAUUUUAUUAAUACAUAGAUUGAAGUCAUGAAUAGUCGGUAUCUUGCUCAGUUUGUAAAUACAUACAGGAAUAAAAGCUGGCAUAUCAUUCAAUUAAAUUCUUAAAGAGCAACACAUGAUUAAUUGCUACCAGUAGGAUGAAGUCAUUGUACUCUGCUGCAUCUACAUAUUUCUAUGUCUUUAAAUAGCAUUUCACACUUGGAGUAAAAUGAAUUCCUGCCUAUCUCCCCGCCAAGGACAAAUGAUAACAUCAUUUUUAGGAAAAUAAAUAAAUCUUUUUGUUGCUAUUGUUGAAUUCCAAUUUGUUUAAAAUAAUUAUCAACAUGCACCCUAUUUCUUUUUAAAUUAAAAUAAGAUAUGGCAAAUUAUUAUAUAAAUCAAAUUAAGGAAUCAUGUUGUCCCACGAAGAAUCAAAACACUGAAAUUUCCAAAAAAUAUUUAAAAGUCAUUUUAACGUUAAAUAUGUUAAAGGACAUGCUCAUCGUUAUUGAGAUUCUCUCUAGCAAAGAAGUGGGGAGAGAAAAAUGUUUGCUUGUUUUUGGAAUAAAGUAGAAACUUUUCCAGUGGGAGAAGAGUUUCAUUCAUGGGAGAUGGAGGUUUAAAAUCUUUAAGAAGCUGGUGAUACCAUUUAGCAGGUGCUGAUAUAAUGAAAUACAAUGUCCAGGGUGGGAGUCCCACGUGCAUUCAUCACUUUCAAAAGGAAAAGACUUUCUCGAGAAGGUGAGACUCUGGUAUCACUAUCUGUACAUGCCCAAUUUUAACUGGUCAUUUGUACACAAAUAAGAUUCUAUGCAAUACUGUAACAAGUGCAUUCUUCAUGAACAUUACAGAAGAACCAUGAGGAGAUCUUCUACUUGACAAAACAUAGAUGGGCAACAGAUAAAAUAUUGAAAUAGCUGCUAACCAUCUUCCAUUUUCAUUCUGAACAUUUCCAGAAGGUGUUUGUGCUUUCGCUGGGUGCUGCCUCACACCAUUUCGGGAAGAGAUCACUGGAUGGGCUCCGAAGAGGGGAAGGGGUUCCUGACACAACUGGGACUAAAUUUUAGUCUCUAUCUUCCCCACCCCCACCCCGUGGGUCACUCUAGAAGUAACAUCGCCAUCUGCUGGACACUGAAGGAACCUCCCCAAGAGGGGGAAGGUUUCUGUUUCGGCAAUCCACAUUAGACCACUUACAAAAUGUAUUUAACAUGUACAAGGCCACCACUUCGGAGACAGGACAGCAAGAACAAAAUAAUCAAAAAGUGCAGGAAAGUGGCAAUAUCCAUUUUGCACAAACUGGUCUGUAGCAGUUUUGAAAACUGGUUCUCCUCAAUCCCCCCUUCCCAGGCAACAACCCCCAGAGAAGGUGAAAAAAGAAAGACAACUGCCAUUUUUAAUUUCUAAGAGUUAUGAAUUUCUAGAAUGAAAGGUUUUUUUGUUUGUUUGUUUGUUUGGUCACCAGUCAGCCCCCACCUUUUUCUCUCCACACUUUCUCAGGGCUGAACUGUGGGGGGAGGUGAGCAUGCAUGCACAUGCGUGCGCUUGCACACACACACACACACACACACACACACACACACGCACACACUAUUCCUUUGCAGUUCUUUAAUCUAACAAGGCUUCGGGAACACAAGAGCACAAAAACUGGGAUAACCCAAAUAUUAUUCUAAACUCUUUUUUCAGGCACUUAAGCAAAACAACUACCAUUUUUGAAGUUUAUAUAACUUUUCCUUAUAA
This is a long non-coding RNA of Bubalus bubalis (water buffalo), 5186 nucleotides long. RefSeq lists it as uncharacterized. Lineage: Eukaryota; Metazoa; Chordata; Mammalia; Artiodactyla; Bovidae. The record is from RefSeq and is a predicted model, not a curated record. The transcript is spliced from 5 exons.